GACGAACGCUGGCGGCGUGCUUAACACAUGCCAGUCGAACGGUGAAGCGCCUUCCUUUUUGGUGGGUGUGGAUGAGUGGCGAACGGGUGAGUAACACGUGAGUAACCUGCCCCCUUCUUCUGGAUAACCGCAUGAAAGUGUGGCUAAUACGGGAUAUUCUGGGUCUGUCGCAUGAUGGGUCUGGGAAAGAUAUUGUUUCGGUGGGGGAUGGGCUCGCGGCCUAUCAGCUUGUUGGUGGGGUGAUGGCCUACCAAGGCGGUGACGGGUAGCCGGCCUGAGAGGGUGGACGGUCACACUGGGACUGAGACACGACCCAGACUCCUACGGGAGGCAGCAGUGGGGAAUAUUGCACAAUGGGCGCAAGCCUGAUGCAGCGACGCCGCGUGAGGGAUGGAGGCCUUCGGGUUGUGAACCUCUUUCGCCAGUGAAGCAGGCCUGCCUCGUUUGUGGGUGGGUUGACGGUAGCUGGAUAAGAAGCGCCGGCUAACUACGUG
This 494-nucleotide ribosomal RNA is filed under the name uncultured bacterium. RNAcentral describes it as "partial 16S ribosomal RNA". It matches the Rfam family "Bacterial small subunit ribosomal RNA", at positions 28 to 507 of the family's 1533-position model. The record is from RNAcentral.